RNAcentral lists this ribosomal RNA (253 nucleotides) under uncultured bacterium. RNAcentral's name for it is "partial 16S ribosomal RNA". It matches the Rfam family "Bacterial small subunit ribosomal RNA", at positions 524 to 776 of the family's 1533-position model. The record is from RNAcentral.
UACGAAGGGGGCUAGCGUUGUUCGGAAUUACUGGGCGUAAAGGGCGCGUAGGCGGCUUUACAAGUCAGGCGUGAAAGCCCCGGGCUUAACCUGGGAACUGCGCUUGAGACUGUAAGGCUAGAGUACCGGAGAGGUAGGUGGAAUUCCCAGUGUAGAGGUGAAAUUCGUAGAUAUUGGGAAGAACACCAGAGGCGAAGGCGGCCUACUGGACGGUAACUGACGCUGAGGUGCGAAAGCGUGGGGAGCAAACAGG